CUUACACAUGCAAGUCGAGGGGCAGCAUCAUUAAAGCUUGCUUUGAUGGAUGGCGACCGGCGCACGGGUGAGUAACACGUAUCCAACCUGCCGACAACACUGGGAUAGCCUUUCGAAAGAAAGAUUAAUACCGGAUGGCAUAGUCUUCCCGCAUGGGAUGACUAUUAAAGAAUUUCGGUUGUCGAUGGGGAUGCGUUCCAUUAGGCAGUUGGCGGGGUAACGGCCCACCAAACCAACGAUGGAUAGGGGUUCUGAGAGGAAGGUCCCCCACAUUGGAACUGAGACACGGUCCAAACUCCUACGGGAGGCAGCAGUGAGGAAUAUUGGUCAAUGGACGAGAGUCUGAACCAGCCAAGUAGCGUGAAGGAUGACUGCCCUAUGGGUUGUAAACUUCUUUUAUACGGGAAUAAAGUGAGCCACGUGUGGCUUUUUGUAUGUACCGUAUGAAUAAGGAUCGGCUAACUCCGUGCCAGCAGCCGCGGUAAUACGGAGGAUCCGAGCGUUAUCCGGAUUUAUUGGGUUUAAAGGGAGCGUAGGCGGGUUGUUAAGUCAGUUGUGAAAGUUUGCGGCUCAACCGUAAAAUUGCAGUUGAUACUGGCGACCUUGAGUGCAACAGAGGUAGGCGGAAUUCGUGGUGUAGCGGUGAAAUGCUUAGAUAUCACGAAGAACUCCGAUUGCGAAGGCAGCUUACUGGAUUGUAACUGACGCUGAUGCUCGAAAGUGUGGGUAUCAAACAGGAUUAGAUACCCUGGUAGUCCACACAGUAAACGAUGAAUACUCGCUGUUGGCGAUAUACGGUCAGCGGCCAAGCGAAAGCAUUAAGUAUUCCACCUGGGGAGUACGCCGGCAACGGUGAAACUCAAAGGAAUUGACGGGGGCCCGC
RNAcentral lists this ribosomal RNA (883 nucleotides) under uncultured bacterium. RNAcentral describes it as "bacterial SSU rRNA". It matches the Rfam family "Bacterial small subunit ribosomal RNA", at positions 48 to 924 of the family's 1533-position model. The record is from RNAcentral.